UCCGGAAUUAUUGGGCGUAAAGCGUUCGUAGGUGGUUUAUUAAGUCUGAAGUUAAAGCCCGGGGCUCAACCCCGGCCCGCUUUGGAUACUGAUAGACUAGAGUUAUAGAGAGGCAGGUGGAACUCCAUGUGAAGCGGUGGAAUGCGUAGAUAUGUGGAAGAACACCAAUGGCGAAGGCAGCCUGCUGGCUAUACACUGACACUGAGGGACGAAAGCGUGGGGAGCAAACAGGAUUAGAUACCCUGGUAGUCCACGCCGUAAACGAUGUUCGCUAGCUGGUGGAGUAUUCACUGGCGCAGCUAACGCAUUAAGCGAACCGCCUGAGUAGUAUGCGCGCAAGCGUGAAACUUAAAGGAAUUGACGGGGACCCGCACAAGCGGUGGAGCAUGUGGUUUAAUUUGAAGAUACGCGGAGAACCUUACCCUCUCUUGACAUCCCCUGCAAAGGCAUAGAGAUAUGUUGGAGGCUAACAGGGUGACAGAUGGUGCAUGGUUGUCGUCAGCUCGUGUCGUGAGAUGUUCGGUUAAGUCCGGCAACGAGCGCAACCCCUAUCCUUAGUUACUAACAUUAAGUUGAGGACUCUAGGGAGACUGCCUGGGUAACCAGGAGGAAGGUGGGGACGACGUCAAAUCAUCAUGCCUCUUACGAGAGGGGCUACACACGUGCUACAAUGGCAGGUACAAUGGGAUGCGAUCCGGCAACGGUCAGCUAACCUCAAAAAACCUGUCUCAGUUCGGAUCGAAGUCUGCAACUCGACUUCGUGAAGUUGGAAUCGCUAGUAAUGGUAGGUCAGCAAUACUACCGUGAAUACGUUCUCGGGUCUUGUACACACCGCCCGUCACACCAUGGGAGUUGGUAAUGCCCGAAGCUGGAUAGUUAACUUCGGAUGCUACUGUCUAAGGCAGGACCGAUGACUAGGGUGAAGUCGUAACAAGGUAAC
Molecule: ribosomal RNA, 940 nt
Filed under: uncultured bacterium
Lineage: Bacteria
Description: bacterial SSU rRNA
Rfam family: Bacterial small subunit ribosomal RNA
Source: RNAcentral